This 682-nucleotide ribosomal RNA is filed under the name Escherichia coli. RNAcentral's name for it is "partial 23S ribosomal RNA". It matches the Rfam family "Bacterial large subunit ribosomal RNA", at positions 327 to 1013 of the family's 2925-position model. Lineage: Bacteria; Pseudomonadati; Pseudomonadota; Gammaproteobacteria; Enterobacterales; Enterobacteriaceae. The record is from RNAcentral.
UGUUAGUGGAAGCGUCUGGAAAGGCGUGCGAUACAGGGUGACAGCCCCGUACACAAAAAUGCACAUACUGUGAGCUCGAUGAGUAGGGCGGGACACGUGGUAUCCUGUCUGAAUAUGGGGGGACCAUCCUCCAAGGCUAAAUACUCCUGACUGACCGAUAGUGAACCAGUACCGUGAGGGAAAGGCGAAAAGAACCCCGGCGAGGGGAGUGAAAAAGAACCUGAAACCGUGUACGUACAAGCAGUGGGAGCCUCUUAAUGGGGUGACUGCGUACCUUUUGUAUAAUGGGUCAGCGACUUAUAUUCUGUAGCAAGGUUAACCGAAUAGGGGAGCCGAAGGGAAACCGAGUCUUAACUGGGCGUUAAGUUGCAGGGUAUAGACCCGAAACCCGGUGAUCUAGCCAUGGGCAGGUUGAAGGUUGGGUAACACUAACUGGAGGACCGAACCGACUAAUGUUGAAAAAUUAGCGGAUGACUUGUGGCUGGGGGUGAAAGGCCAAUCAAACCGGGAGAUAGCUGGUUCUCCCCGAAAGCUAUUUAGGUAGCGCCUCGUGAAUUCAUCUCCGGGGGUAGAGCACUGUUUCGGCAAGGGGGUCAUCCCGACUUACCAACCCGAUGCAAACUGCGAAUACCGGAGAAUGUUAUCACGGGAGACACACGGCGGGUGCUAACGUCCGUCGUGA